Molecule: long non-coding RNA, 512 nt
Organism: Pimephales promelas (fathead minnow)
Lineage: Eukaryota; Metazoa; Chordata; Actinopteri; Cypriniformes; Leuciscidae
Source: RefSeq, a predicted model, not a curated record
UGUUUACGUCGUUUUUGUCAUAGAUAUCGGUUUUUGUUGUAGGAUGUCUCAGGUUGAGCUCGUUGGAUGAGAGAGAGAUUAGACAAAGACAGCUAUGAUUCUUUGAUUGAUUAUGAGUGGGUUGUCUUACCUUGCUGAGAGGUUAGCUUCAUGCCUUGCAUCUUCAAAAGGAGUCACAAACACAGGGUGACAUGCUAACAGACAGCAAGUUCGGUCAGUCUCAAGGGCACCUCUAUCAAGUGACCCCUCCACAUGCAGUGUGGUGCCUAUAUAAAGCAGCAUUUUUAAUAAUCAGUUAGGAAUGACAGGACUCAUUAUAAAUCCAUUAAGACAUACAAUAUUUUUUCCUAUAUUGACAUUAAUGAUGAACUGCCUGUAAACUCUGUUAAGGGGAUGGGCAUUUCUGAUAACCUGUUCAGUGUGUAAAUCAUAAUGCAAAACUGAGUGGUCAAUAUAAACAAAAUACAAUGUUCCCAUAAGACCCUACAAUAAACAAAUUAUGUUUAUCAUGA